UUUAGGGAGACCUACUUUUGGGUUUGUGCUCACCAAGUUGUAAAACAACUGAGGAGUAAGAAAAAAAACUCAAAAGACAUCCCGAGGUCGGUCGCAAGCUUGCAAGUGUUAGCUUUCAAACUAUAAGUAAGGUUCAAAUAUGGGCUAUUAGCUCAGGUGGUUAGAGCGCACCCCUGAUAAGGGUGAGGUCCCUGGUUCGAGUCCAGGAUGGCCCACCUGAAGAGAAUUCAAAAGUCAACUUGAAGAACUUGUGAUUGUUAGAUUAGAAGUUUGAAAUUUGAGAUUUGAAUUUUAGUAGGGGGGUAUAGCUCAGUUGGUAGAGCGCCUGCUUUGCAAGCAGGAUGUCAGGAGUUCGAGUCUCCUUACCUCCACCUGCGCCAAUAAAUUUGUAAUUCGCACAGAGUGUACUCAAAAGCCAGUAAAGGAAACAGAGUACAGUUUGAAGUGAGACAAACAAAGGCAAAGUAAGUGUCCGAAAGAAAAAUAGUGGGUAAGAUUCAGCAUCUUGUGAACAGAAGCAAGACUGCUGGAAAGAAUCCAGCAAAGGAACCUUGAAAACUGCAUAGAAACGCGAAAUUUGUCAGGUAGUUAACUAAAAACAGUUAACACUCCAAACAAAAACACCAAUGAUUGU
Molecule: transfer RNA, 634 nt
Filed under: Brasilonema calidum TH04-Ema
Lineage: Bacteria; Bacillati; Cyanobacteriota; Cyanophyceae; Nostocales; Scytonemataceae
Description: 16S-23S ribosomal RNA intergenic spacer
Rfam family: tRNA (bases 299-371)
Source: RNAcentral